GAUGAACGCUGGCGGCGUGCCUAAUACAUGCCAGUCGAGCGAACGGACGAGAAGCUUGCUUCUCUGAUGUUAGCGGCGGACGGGUGAGUAACACGUGGAUAACCUACCUAUAAGACUGGGAUAACUUCGGGAAACCGUAGCUAAUACCGGAUAAUAUUUUGAACCGCAUGGUUCAAAAGUGAAAGACGGUCUUGCUGUCACUUAUAGAUGGAUCCGCGCUGCAUUAGCUAGUUGGUAAGGUAACGGCUUACCAAGGCAACGAUGCAUAGCCGACCUGAGAGGGUGAUCGGCCACACUGGAACUGAGACACGGUCCAGACUCCUACGGGAGGCAGCAGUAGGGAAUCUUCCGCAAUGGGCGAAAGCCUGACGGAGCAACGCCGCGUGAGUGAUGAAGGUCUUCGGAUCGUAAAACUCUGUUAUUAGGGAAGAACAUAUGUGUAAGUAACUGUGCACAUCUUGACGGUACCUAAUCAGAAAGCCACGGCUGACUACGUG
RNAcentral lists this ribosomal RNA (497 nucleotides) under uncultured bacterium. RNAcentral describes it as "partial 16S ribosomal RNA". It matches the Rfam family "Bacterial small subunit ribosomal RNA", at positions 28 to 507 of the family's 1533-position model. The record is from RNAcentral.